CAGCAGCCACGGGAAUACGGAGGGGGCUAGCGUUGUUCGGAGUUACUGGGCGUAAAGGGUGCGUAGGCGGUUUGAUAAGUCAUCUGUGAAAUCUCUGGGCUCAACCCAGAGUCUGCAGGCGAAACUGUCGGGCUUGAGUAUGGGAGAGGUGAGUGGAAUUUCCGGUGUAGCGGUGAAAUGCGUAGAUAUCGGAAGGAACGCCCGUGGCGAAAGCGGGCUCCUGGACCCCACCUGACGCUGAGACGCGAAAGCCAGGGGAGCGAACGGGAUUAGAUACCCGCGUAGUCCCUGUCUCUUAUAC
RNAcentral lists this ribosomal RNA (301 nucleotides) under uncultured bacterium. RNAcentral describes it as "partial 16S ribosomal RNA". It matches the Rfam family "Bacterial small subunit ribosomal RNA", at positions 509 to 807 of the family's 1533-position model. The record is from RNAcentral.